This is a small nucleolar RNA of Phyllostomus discolor (pale spear-nosed bat), 147 nucleotides long. RefSeq annotates it as small nucleolar RNA SNORA57. The record is from RefSeq and is a predicted model, not a curated record. NCBI's taxonomy places the organism in Eukaryota, Metazoa, Chordata, Mammalia, Chiroptera, Phyllostomidae. The transcript has a single exon.
CCUCUUCCUGGUAGGGGUUGGGCAUGAGGUCCUGGUCCUUGUAAUGUACAGAGGCAGAAGGAAAGAGCUCUGGCCCUCUCAGCAUCAUGUCUUCAGUGCCCAAUAGUUUCCAGUCCAGACGUUCUAUACUCAAGCACUGGGACACAG